RNAcentral lists this ribosomal RNA (109 nucleotides) under Jaculus jaculus (lesser Egyptian jerboa). The record is from RNAcentral. Lineage: Eukaryota; Metazoa; Chordata; Mammalia; Rodentia; Dipodidae.
UCUAGGCCAUACCACCCUGAAGGCGCCUGAUCUCCUCUGGUCUCAGAAGCUAAGCAGGAUCGGGCCUGGCUAAUACUUGGAUGAGAGAAAGAGAGCUGGUGCUGAAGAG